AGAAGCGGAGAUUUAACGGGGACGUGUGGUCAGAGCUGGGGAAAUGGGCCCGCGAGCCAGGCCGGCGCUUCUCCUCCUGAUGCUUUUACAGACCGCGGUCCUGCAGGGGCGCUUGCUGCGUUCACACUCUCUGCACUACCUCUUCAUGGGUGCCUCAGAGCAGGACCUUGGUCUUUCCUUGUUUGAAGCUUUGGGCUACGUGGAUGACCAGCUGUUCGUGUUCUAUGAUCAUGAGAGUCGCCGUGUAGAGCCCCGAACUCCAUGGGUUUCCAGUAGAACUUCAAGCCAGAUGUGGCUGCAGCUGAGUCAGAGUCUGAAAGGGUGGGAUCACAUGUUCACUGUUGACUUCUGGACUAUUAUGGAAAAUCACAACCACAGCAAGGAAGGAAGUGAAAGUUCCAAUCUUCCUGGCAAGGAUAAACAGAUCCCCUCUCCUCAUCCUUCCUCUUUCCUGUCAAGUACCUCCUUUGGUGAAGGUGACACAUCAUGUGACCUCUUCAGUGACCACUCUACGGUGUCGGGCCCUGAACUACUACCCCCAGAACAUCACCAUGAAGUGGCUGAAGGAUAGGCAGCCAAUGGAUGCCAAGGAGUUCGAACCUAAAGACGUAUUGCCCAAUGGGGAUGGGACCUACCAGGGCUGGAUAACCUUGGCUGUACCCCCUGGGGAAGAGCAGAGAUAUACGUGCCAGGUGGAGCACCCAGGCCUGGAUCAGCCCCUCCUUGCGAUCUGGGGUAUGUGACUGAUGAGAGCCAGGAGCUGAGAAAAUCUAUUGGGGGUUGAGAGGAGUGCCUGAGGGGAGCCCUUACCGUCUGGCACCCUAGUCAUUGGAGUCAUCAGUGGAAUUGCUGUUUUUGUCGUCAUCUUGUUCAUUGGAAUUUUGUCCAUAAUAUUAAGGAAGAGGCAGGUUUCAAGAGGAGCCAUGGGGCACUACGUCUUAGCUGAACGUGAGUGACACGCAGCCUGCAGACUCAUUGUGGGAAGGA
RNAcentral lists this small RNA (987 nucleotides) under Pongo abelii (Sumatran orangutan). RNAcentral's name for it is "retained intron". Lineage: Eukaryota; Metazoa; Chordata; Mammalia; Primates; Hominidae. The record is from RNAcentral.